AACGAACGCUGGCGGCAUGCCUAACACAUGCAAGUCGAACGAGACCUUCGGGUCUAGUGGCGCACGGGUGCGUAACGCGUGGGAAUCUGCCCUGGGGGUGCGGAAUAACUCGGAGAAAUCCGUGCUAAUACCGCAUAAUGUCUUCGGACCAAAGAUUUAUCGCCCUGGGAUGAGCCCGCGUAGGAUUAGCUAGUUGGUGGGGUAAAGGCCUACCAAGGCGACGAUCCUUAGCUGGUCUGAGAGGAUGAUCAGCCACACUGGGACUGAGACACGGCCCAGACUCCUACGGGAGGCAGCAGUGGGGAAUAUUGGACAAUGGGCGAAAGCCUGAUCCAGCAAUGCCGCGUGAGUGAUGAAGGCCCUAGGGUUGGUAAAGUACUCUUUUACCUUGGGAGUGAUAAUGACAGUACCGGGAGGAAU
This 420-nucleotide ribosomal RNA is filed under the name uncultured bacterium. RNAcentral's name for it is "bacterial SSU rRNA". It matches the Rfam family "Bacterial small subunit ribosomal RNA", at positions 29 to 488 of the family's 1533-position model. The record is from RNAcentral.